AGUGAACGCUGGCGGUAGGCCUAACACAUGCAAGUCGAACGGCAGCACAGUAAGAGCUUGCUCUUACGGGUGGCGAGUGGCGGACGGGUGAGGAAUACAUCGGAAUCUACUUUUUCGUGGGGGAUAACGUAGGGAAACUUACGCUAAUACCGCAUACGACCUACGGGUGAAAGCAGGGGAUCUUCGGACCUUGCGCGAUUGAAUGCGCCGAUGUCGGAUUAGCUAGUUGGCGGGGUAAAGGCCCACCAAGGCGACGAUCCGUAGCUGGUCUGAGAGGAUGGUCAGCCACACUGGAACUGAGACACGGUCCAGACUCCUACGGGAGGCAGCAGUGGGGAAUAUUGGACAAUGGGCGCAAGCCUGAUCCAGCCAUACCGCGUGGGUGAAGAAGGCCUUCGGGUUGUAAAGCCCUUUUGUUGGGAAAGAAAAGCAGGAGGUUAAUACCCCGCUGUUCUGACGGUACCCAAAGAAUAAGCACCGGCUAACUUCGUG
Molecule: ribosomal RNA, 492 nt
Filed under: uncultured bacterium
Lineage: Bacteria
Description: partial 16S ribosomal RNA
Rfam family: Bacterial small subunit ribosomal RNA
Source: RNAcentral